RNAcentral lists this ribosomal RNA (491 nucleotides) under uncultured bacterium. Its description in RNAcentral is "bacterial SSU rRNA". It matches the Rfam family "Bacterial small subunit ribosomal RNA", at positions 28 to 507 of the family's 1533-position model. The record is from RNAcentral.
GAUGAACGCUAGCUACAGGCUUAACACAUGCAAGUCGAGGGGAAACGACAUCGAAAGCUUGCUUUUGGUGGGCGUCGACCGGCGCACGGGUGAGUAACGCGUAUCCAACCUGCCCACCACUUGGGGAUAACCUUGCGAAAGUAAGACUAAUACCCAAUGAUAUCCCACGAAGGCAUCCGAAUGGGAUUAAAGAUUUAUCGGUGAUGGAUGGGGAUGCGUCUGAUUAGCUUGUUGGCGGGGUAACGGCCCACCAAGGCAACGAUCAGUAGGGGUUCUGAGAGGAAGGUCCCCCACAUUGGAACUGAGACACGGUCCAAACUCCUACGGGAGGCAGCAGUGAGGAAUAUUGGUCAAUGGGCGAGAGCCUGAACCAGCCAAGUAGCGUGCAGGACGACGGCCCUAUGGGUUGUAAACUGCUUUUAUAAGGGAAUAAAGUGGGUCACGUGUGACUUUUUGCAUGUACCUAUGAAUAAGGACCGGCUAAUUCCGUG